Molecule: ribosomal RNA, 402 nt
Filed under: bacterium
Lineage: Bacteria
Description: partial 16S ribosomal RNA
Rfam family: Bacterial small subunit ribosomal RNA
Source: RNAcentral
UGGGGAAUUUUGCACAAUGGGGGAAACCCUGAUGCAGCGACGCCGCGUGAUUUAGAAGGCCUUCGGGUUGUAAAAAUCUUUUUUACGGGAUGAAAAUGACAGUACCGUAAGAAUAAGGUCCGGCUAAAUACGUGCCAGCAGCCGCGGUAAUACGUAUGGACCGAGCGUUGUCCGGAAUCAUUGGGCGUAAAGGGUACGUAGGCGGCCUAGUAAGUUAGAAGUGAAAUAAUAUAGCUCAACUAUAUAAAGCUUUUAAAACUGCUAGGCUUGAGAGAUGGAAGGGAAAGUGGAAUUCCUAGUGUAGCGGUGAAAUGCGCAGAUAUUAGGAAGAAUACCGGUGGCGAAGGCGACUUUCUGGUCCUCAUCUGACGCUGAGGUACGAAAGCGUGGGUAGCAAACAGG